This 345-nucleotide ribosomal RNA is filed under the name uncultured bacterium. Its description in RNAcentral is "bacterial SSU rRNA". It matches the Rfam family "Bacterial small subunit ribosomal RNA", at positions 360 to 702 of the family's 1533-position model. The record is from RNAcentral.
AAUAUUGGGUAAUGCCCGAAAGGGUGACCCAGCAACGCCGCGUGGAGGAUGAAGGUCGUAAGAUUGUAAACUCCUGUUAGAGGGGACGAAUAACUAAGUUUGGAGCUUAGUAUGACUGUACCCUCAGAGAAAGCCCCAGCUAACUACGUGCCAGCAGCCGCGGUAAUACGUAGGGGGCAAGCGUUGUCCGGAUUUACUGGGUGUAAAGGGCGCGCAGGCGGACUGGAAAGUCAGUGGUGAAAUCCUACAGCUUAACGGUAGAACUGCCUUUGAUCCUGUCAUUUUUGAGUUUGGGAGAGAGUGGCGCAGUUACAGGUGUGGUGGUGAAAUAUGUAGAUAUCUGGA